UGGGGAAUAUUGGACAAUGGGCGCAAGCCUGAUCCAGCAAUGCCGCGUGUGUGAAGAAGGCCUUCGGGUUGUAAAGCACUUUUAUCAGGAGCAAAACGCUGUCGGCUAAUACCCGGCGGAACUGACGGUACCUGAGGAAUAAGCACCGGCUAACUUCGUGCCAGCAGCCGCGGUAAUACGAAGGGUGCAAGCGUUAAUCGGAAUUACUGGGCGUAAAGCGUGCGUAGGCGGUUUCUUAAGUCUGCUGUGAAAUCCCCGGGCUCAACCUGGGAAUGGCAGUGGAUACUGGGAGGCUAGAGUGUGUCAGAGGGUGGUGGAAUUCCCGGUGUAGCGGUGAAAUGCGUAGAGAUCGGGAGGAACAUCAGUGGCGAAGGCGGCCACCUGGGACAACACUGACGCUGAGGCACGAAAGCGUGGGGAGCAAACAGGAUUAGAUACCCUGGUAGUCCACGCCCUAAAGCGAUGCGAACUGGAUGUUGGUCUCAACUCGGAGAUCAGUGUCGAAGCUAACGCGUUAAGUUCGCCGCCUGGGGAGUACGGUCGCAAGACUGAAACUCAAAUGAAUUGAC
Molecule: ribosomal RNA, 569 nt
Filed under: uncultured bacterium
Lineage: Bacteria
Description: partial 16S ribosomal RNA
Rfam family: Bacterial small subunit ribosomal RNA
Source: RNAcentral